GAUGAACGCUGGCGGCGUGCCUAAUACAUGCAAGUCGAGCGAACAGACGAGGAGCUUGCUCCUCUGACGUUAGCGGCGGACGGGUGAGUAACACGUGGAUAACCUACCUAUAAGACUGGGAUAACUUCGGGAAACCGGAGCUAAUACCGGAUAACAUGUUGAACCGCAUGGUUCAACAGUGAAAGACGGUCUUGCUGUCACUUAUAGAUGGAUCAGCGCCGCAUUAGCUAGUUGGUAAGGUAACGGCUUACCAAGGCAACGAGGCGUAGCCGACCUGAGAGGGUGAUCGGCCACACUGGAACUGAGACACGGUCCAGACUCCUACGGGAGGCAGCAGUAGGGAAUCUUCCGCAAUGGGCGAAAGCCUGACGGAGCAACGCCGCGUGAGUGAUGAAGGUCUUCGGAUCGUAAAACUCUGUUAUUAGGGAAGAACAAAUGUGUAAGUAACUAUGCACGUCUUGACGGUACCUAAUCAGAAAGCCACGGCUAACUACGUG
RNAcentral lists this ribosomal RNA (497 nucleotides) under uncultured bacterium. RNAcentral describes it as "partial 16S ribosomal RNA". It matches the Rfam family "Bacterial small subunit ribosomal RNA", at positions 28 to 507 of the family's 1533-position model. The record is from RNAcentral.